This 398-nucleotide transfer-messenger RNA is filed under the name Anaerolineae bacterium. It matches the Rfam family "transfer-messenger RNA". From Rfam's summary of the family: Bacterial tmRNA, also known as 10Sa RNA or SsrA, is named for its dual tRNA and mRNA-like properties. Its role is to liberate the mRNA from a stalled ribosome. To accomplish this part of the tmRNA is used as a reading frame that ends in a translation stop signal. The record is from RNAcentral. Lineage: Bacteria; Bacillati; Chloroflexota; Anaerolineae.
GGGGAUGACAGGCUUCGACGGAAGAGGCUGGUCUCGUACUGCGAGCCGAGAGGCGCCGACCUCGUGAAAUCAGCGCACACUGUCAAGUGCCAACCGCACUGACUAUGCUGCUCUCCCUCUGGCUGCGUAAGCAGUUUAGAAUGAGUAGCUAACGGCCCCAAGGGCCGCGCCCCCUCGCUCCUCCCUCCGGCUGGGGAGAGGUCGGGCGACACAAUGCCGGAGUGCAGUGCUGGACGCCGCUAAAAGCGCCUAAGCGGAACUUUCGGGUUCCAGCGGCUGGCCGGUUGAACCCUUGGUCGCUUGUGGGCCAACCGGCGACAACCAACAGACGACUACGCUCGUAGACGUGCGGGAACCUAAUCUUGCGGACGCGGGUUCGAUUCCCGCCAUCUCCACCU